UCCUGCCUGCCCUGUGACACUUAGUUUAACGGCCGCGGUAUUUUGACCGUGCAAAGGUAGCGAAAUCACUUGUCUAUUAAAUGUAGACCUGUAUGAAUGGCAAAACGAGGGCUUAACUGUCUCCUUUCUCAAGUCAAUGAAAUUGAUCUCCCCGUGCAGAAGCGGGGAUUGACCCAUAAGACGAGAAGACCCUAUGGAGCUUUAGAUGAUAGAAUAGCUCACGUUAAGAACCCCCUGACAAGGGGCUAAACAUAAUGAACCCUACUCUUAUAUCUUUGGUUGGGGCGACCGCGGAGAAAUAAAUAACCUCCACGUGGAAAAGUAAUACAAUUACUUCACCCAAGAGUGACAGCUCUCAUGAACAGAACUUCUGACCUAAAGAUCCGGUAACACCGAUCAACGAACCGAGUUACCCUAGGGAUAACAGCGCAAUCCCCUUUUAGAGCCCAUAUCGACAAGGGGGUUUACGACCUCGAUGUUGGAUCAG
Molecule: ribosomal RNA, 487 nt
Filed under: Minous monodactylus (grey stingfish)
Lineage: Eukaryota; Metazoa; Chordata; Actinopteri; Perciformes; Synanceiidae
Description: partial small subunit ribosomal RNA
Rfam family: Bacterial large subunit ribosomal RNA
Source: RNAcentral